CCAGCAGCCGCGGUAAUUCCAGCUCCAAUAGCGUAUAUUUAAGUUGUUGCAGUUAAAAAGCUCGUAGUUGGAUUUCGGGUGGGUUCUAGCGGUCCGCCUUUGGUGAGUACUGCUAUGGCCUUCCUUUCUGCCGGGGACGGGCUCCUGGGCUUCACUGUCCGGGACUCGGAGUCGGCGAGGAUACUUUGAGUAAAUUGGAGUGUUCAAAGCAGGCCUACGCUCUGAACAUUUUAGCAUGGAAUAUCACGAUAGGACUCUGGCCUAUCUUGUUGGUCUGUAGGACCGGAGUAAUGAUUAAGAGGGACAGUCGGGGGCAUUCGUAUUUCAUUGUCAGAGGUGAAAUUCUUGGAUUUAUGAAAGACGAACUACUGCGAAAGCAUUUGCCAAGGAUGUUUUCAUUAAUCAAGAACGAAAGU
This 416-nucleotide ribosomal RNA is filed under the name uncultured eukaryote. RNAcentral's name for it is "SSU rRNA". It matches the Rfam family "Eukaryotic small subunit ribosomal RNA", at positions 567 to 990 of the family's 1831-position model. The record is from RNAcentral.